Molecule: transfer RNA, 75 nt
Filed under: Corynebacterium sp. HMSC06G04
Lineage: Bacteria; Bacillati; Actinomycetota; Actinomycetes; Mycobacteriales; Corynebacteriaceae
Description: tRNA-Val
Rfam family: tRNA
About the family: Transfer RNA (tRNA) molecules are approximately 80 nucleotides in length. Their secondary structure includes four short double-helical elements and three loops (D, anti-codon, and T loops).
Source: RNAcentral
GCGCGAUUAGUUCAGUGGGAGAGCGCUUCCCUGACACGGAAGAGGUCACUGGUUCAAUCCCAGUAUCGCGCACUA